UACGUACUGUGCGAACGUUAUUCGGAAUCACUGGGCUUAAAGGGUGCGUAGGCGGCGCGGAAAGUUGGGUGUGAAAUCCCUCGGCUCAACCGAGGAAUUGCGCCCAAAACUUCCGUGCUCGAGGAAGAUAGAGGUGAGCGGAACUUAGGGUGGAGCGGUGAAAUGCGUUGAUAUCCUAAGGAACACCGGUGGCGAAAGCGGCUCACUGGAUCUUUUCUGACGCUGAGGCACGAAAGCUAGGGUAGCGAACGGG
RNAcentral lists this ribosomal RNA (253 nucleotides) under uncultured bacterium. RNAcentral describes it as "partial 16S ribosomal RNA". It matches the Rfam family "Bacterial small subunit ribosomal RNA", at positions 524 to 776 of the family's 1533-position model. The record is from RNAcentral.